This 844-nucleotide ribosomal RNA is filed under the name uncultured bacterium. RNAcentral's name for it is "bacterial SSU rRNA". It matches the Rfam family "Bacterial small subunit ribosomal RNA", at positions 9 to 893 of the family's 1533-position model. The record is from RNAcentral.
GAGUUUGAUCAUGGCUCAGGAUGAACGCUGGCGGUAUGCUUAACACAUGCAAGUCGUACGCAAGUUUUUAACUUGAGUGGCGGACGGGUGAGUAACGCGUGAGAAUUCACCUUUAGGGAGGGGAUAACAAUUAGAAAUGAUUGCUAAUACCGUAUAUGCUUAUGUAGUGAAAGGAGUAAUCCCCCUAGAGAGAAGCUCGCGUCUGAUUAGCUAGUUGGUAAGGUAAUGGCUUACAAAGGCGACGAUCAGUAGCUGGUUUGAGAGAGCGAUCAGCCACACUGGAACUGAGACACGGUCCAGACUCCUACGGGAGGCAGCAGUGGGGAAUUUUCCGCAAUGGGCGAAAGCCUGACGGAGCAAUACCGCGUGAGGGAUGAAAGCCUAUGGGUUGUAAACCUCUUUUGUCAAGGAGGAAGUUCUGACGUUACUUGACGAAUAAGCAUCGGCUAACUCCGUGCCAGCAGCCGCGGUAAUACGGAGGAUGCAAGUGUUAUCCGGAAUCACUGGGCGUAAAGAGUCUGUAGGUGGUUUAAAAAGUCCACUAUUAAAGGUUGAAGCUUAACUUCAAAAAUGUCGUGGAAACUUUUAGACUUGAGUAUGGUAGGGGUAGAGGGAACUUCCAGUGGAGCGGUGAAAUGCGUAGAUAUUGGAAAGACCAUCAAUGGCGAAGGCACUCUACUGGGCCAUUACUGACACUGAGAGACGAAAGCUAGGGUAGCAAAUGGGAUUAGAUACCCCAGUAGUCCUAGCCGUAAACGAUGGAUACUAGAUGUUGCGUGUAUCGACCCAUGCAGUAUUGUAGCUAACGCGUUAAGUAUCCCGCCUGGGAAGUAUGCUCGCAAGA